GCAAAUGAGGUAUGAACGGACUUCUAAUCCGUAGGUCGCAGGUUCGAAUCCUGCCAGGCGCGCCA
This 65-nucleotide transfer RNA is filed under the name Nitrospinaceae bacterium. RNAcentral's name for it is "tRNA-Ser". It matches the Rfam family "tRNA", at positions 10 to 71 of the family's 71-position model. Rfam says of the family: Transfer RNA (tRNA) molecules are approximately 80 nucleotides in length. Lineage: Bacteria; Pseudomonadati; Nitrospinota; Nitrospinia; Nitrospinales; Nitrospinaceae. The record is from RNAcentral.